Molecule: long non-coding RNA, 996 nt
Organism: Episyrphus balteatus (marmalade hoverfly)
Lineage: Eukaryota; Metazoa; Arthropoda; Insecta; Diptera; Syrphidae
Exons: 3
Source: RefSeq, a predicted model, not a curated record
UAAAUGUUCCGAAAUCAGCUGACUAGACAAAUAUACAGUUGUAAAGAAAUUGUCAAACGUCAAACAAAAAAGAAUUACAGCAGAAACAAACUAAAAAAGAACAAAUUCCGAAGAUUCAACAAUUAAUCAGCAAAUAGGUAUUUUAUUUCCACUCGAAACAAAAUUAUGUUAAAAUGUUCAUGAGCUUCGAAACAAACAACGUGAAACCUACAGCCGCCCUCAAAAGCGAACAACAUCAAAAGUCUAAACAACAAAAAGCUACAUAGAGGCCGAUCCGGCUUUGCAGUUAGACGAAUUGAUUUUCGAAAAGCUUGCACUUACAGGCAAUCUCUUGAAAAAGCAAUAGAUUUCUCUACAACUCGUGUGCGGAAAGCAAAAUCGUUCAAAGUCCUUCAGAAAUCCUAUGGAGUUAGAACAAUUUUGAUUUCCGCAGACGAACUGUUAUCAAAAGAUCGCAUUACAACUCACUUCCUUGCAUUCGAGAUUUACGCUAGGAGGAAUAAAAUUCUUCUAAUCAGCGCCAAACAUCCACAACAUCAUUGAAGCAAAUCGUGAUUCAAUUUCGUGGAGAGCGCAGAGUUCCAUUUCACUUACCUUUCUGUACUCCAAUUGGAACGACAAGUAAAGUACUACAAGGCAACCAAAGAUUGGCGAUCAGUAAAUUGGACAACGUAGGAUCUUUCUUCAUUUACUAUUCUUAUUGGAAAGUAAGGUGUUUGUUCGAUCGGCCGAUCCAAUGUUCCAACUAUGUGACCAAAGCCAAAAGCCGUUUAAACACAAAACGAUCAGACAAGCUUUCUAAAUCAAAUCAAAUAUUUUUGAAAUUUCUAAUUAAAUGAUAAUUUCACUUUUUAUAAAUACAAAAUAACAUGUCAAUGCUACAAACACAGCUAUAGCUGCUGCAGAUCAAAUCAGCAACUUAAAUUGAUUGUUGUUUUCUUUGAUGUCUUGUGGGAUUACUUUGCGUUCUCUUGGUUUUCGUUUUCUCUUCUAAAA